GAAUAAGAUUAAAAUAAAAUACGUAUUAGUUUUGCCCUACGCCCCAUGGCGGGUCGGGGUUUUUUAUACGGGUGGCCGCGAGGGUCAAUCCGAGGCGCGCGUGCGCGGUGGGAUGUCGCGUCGGCCACCUCGGUGACGAAGCGGCUCGCUCCGUGUGCAAAAAGGAAAGAUGGCGGCGUCGACGCUUGUGGGGCCCAGGGAGGCACCUUCGCCGGAGGAGAUUCACUCCCUGCCCUAGAAGGGCGCCUCUUCCGCGGCGCCCAGCGGGGAUUCGAACUUGCAGACCCCGAAGGACCUGUUGCCUUUGCAGGCGCCGAACCCACUGAGCCACCGCCGCCUCUUGGCUCCACCCGCUGAUCUUGGUAUAUUUGACCUCUCUACCCCUAGAGGCUAAAAGCUGAAAUAGGAAUGGGGGGAUUCGAACCAGAGAGUUCAGGUCUUCUACGUCAUUGAAUUUACCCCUAGGCUAAUCGGGAAACCGGAAGUAACCUUCGGGAAUCGACCCUAUGUCUCUCCAGCGAACGGAGCGCUGCUCUAAAGCCAUUACAAGCUGCGCCCCAGCGUCCAGUCCCUGCUCUUUAAUGCGAGGGUUUCUGCCUUAACACGUAGAAAAUCGGCGGUUUGGAGUUAAAACGUACGGAUCUCCAACUCUGGGCCGGAAUAUCUAAAGUUGAAGCUCUUGUGGGCGGAGCCGGAAAAUAAUUUUUUUGAACCUGGGGACUCCGUACUUGGGAAGCAGCCCUUUGCCUGCUACGCUACCGGGCCCGGCGGGAUCGCGCCUUGGAAU
Molecule: long non-coding RNA, 787 nt
Filed under: Pogona vitticeps (central bearded dragon)
Lineage: Eukaryota; Metazoa; Chordata; Lepidosauria; Squamata; Agamidae
Description: lncRNA (ENSPVIG00000021444.1)
Source: RNAcentral